Molecule: ribosomal RNA, 492 nt
Filed under: uncultured bacterium
Lineage: Bacteria
Description: partial 16S ribosomal RNA
Rfam family: Bacterial small subunit ribosomal RNA
Source: RNAcentral
AGUGAACGCUGGCGGUAGGCCUAACACAUGCAAGUCGAACGGCAGCACAGUAAGAGCUUGCUCUUACGGGUGGCGAGUGGCGGACGGGUGAGGAAUACAUCGGAAUCUACUUUUUCGUGGGGGAUAACGUAGGGAAACUUACGCUAAUACCGCAUACGACCUACGGGUGAAAGCAGGGGAUCUUCGGACCUUGCGCGAUUGAAUGAGCCGAUGUCGGAUUAGCUAGUUGGCGGGGUAAAGGCCCACCAAGGCGACGAUCCGUAGCUGGUCUGAGAGGAUGAUCAGCCACACUGGAACUGGGACACGGUCCAGACGCCUACGGGAGGCAGCAGUGGGGAAUAUUGGACAAUGGGCGCAAGCCUGAUCCAGCCAUACCGCGUGGGUGAAGAAGGCCUUCGGGUUGUAAAGCCCUUUUGUUGGGAAAGAAAAGCAGCAGGUUAAUACCCCGCUGUUCUGACGGUACCCAAAGAAUAAGCACCGGCUAACUUCGUG